Molecule: unclassified non-coding RNA, 331 nt
Filed under: Hevea brasiliensis (rubber tree)
Lineage: Eukaryota; Viridiplantae; Streptophyta; Magnoliopsida; Malpighiales; Euphorbiaceae
Source: RNAcentral
AGGUCAAGAAACUGUGCACAGAUAAUUAGCAUGGCAGAAAUGUGAUGGAUCUGUGAAAAUACUAGGAUGAAUUUGUGAAGGCAUAAGGAUGUAUGGGUUAAGGAUUGAACGCAUGAAGGUCAAAGUGUACCUAUUGAGCAAAAGUUGAGUGUGGAGAUUGAGAUGACAUGUGCAUUGUAAACUAAGAAAUGCAUCAGUAUAGAAAGUUACAAAUAUUGGUUUGGAAAGAAAUUGAUGUGUGAACAUAUGAUGAUGUGGGAAAUACAGUGAGAAAGGUUCUAACAGUUCUAAAUCCUUUUGAAAACAUAGCAUUAAGCCAGGUAGAGUAACA